Molecule: transfer RNA, 65 nt
Filed under: Branchiostoma belcheri (Belcher's lancelet)
Lineage: Eukaryota; Metazoa; Chordata; Leptocardii; Amphioxiformes; Branchiostomatidae
Description: tRNA-Trp
Rfam family: tRNA
About the family: Transfer RNA (tRNA) molecules are approximately 80 nucleotides in length. Their secondary structure includes four short double-helical elements and three loops (D, anti-codon, and T loops).
Source: RNAcentral
AAGGAGUUAGGUUAAGUGAGACCUUUAGCCUUCAAAGCUGAGAGUGGGAGAGUUCUCAGUCCUUA